GUUCUUAUAGUUGAAAUACAACGAUGGUUUUUCAUACAA
RNAcentral lists this transfer RNA (39 nucleotides) under Vulpes ferrilata (Tibetan sand fox). RNAcentral describes it as "partial tRNA-Glu". Lineage: Eukaryota; Metazoa; Chordata; Mammalia; Carnivora; Canidae. The record is from RNAcentral.